Microcebus murinus (gray mouse lemur) is the source of this 1253-nucleotide non-coding RNA. Lineage: Eukaryota; Metazoa; Chordata; Mammalia; Primates; Cheirogaleidae. The record is from RefSeq and is a predicted model, not a curated record.
UCACGGUUUACUUAUGGGAAUUUGGGCUAGUUUCUACCCUGUUUGUUCACAAUGUAGUUCUUCCCAACCAACCAAUCUUCACUUCAAGAGGGCCACACUGUAACCUCAGCUAAACUCUGUAAGUCACAAUGGCUUGGCUCAAGAGCAGCACUUGUUCCUCACCUCUUUAGCUGUCAUACACCAACAUCUGGAUUCUUUCAGGAAAUUCUUAAUUGAAUCUGUUACGACCAACAAAGAUGAAGCAAACCAGUGUCAUCCAGUCUUUGAUACAAGUGAGUACAGCUGCAAAGGGAAGCAGAUUCUGUAUAUGUUGGUAACUACCCACCAAGAAGCAUGUGGGUAGCAGGGAAGAAGUAAAAAAAAAAAAAAAAAAAAAGAAUCCUGGGAGAUAAUGCAUUUUCCCCUGAAUAUUCUUAUACUUUUUAAUAUACAUGGGUGGUUUAAGUAUUGAGCUCCCAACCAAACAUUUGAGAACAGGCUCCUUGAGCAAACCAUGAAAUCAGUGAAAAUAGGAAUUUAUACCCAUAGAGUGCUGGAAAGGACUUGGUAAUUGUUAACACAUUACACUUAGCGGCAGAUGAGACCUGAUGAAGCCUGGUCCACCUUCCAUACUGUAUUAGUCCCUUCCUGAAGGGAAAGGACUAGUUAAGGAUUUAAAAAACAGCAAAAGACAGUAAUAUAUAACUAUAGAAGAAUUGAGGGUAAGCAUGCAAAACUUAUGAGGCACUGUCUUAAACACCAAUCAAUGUGGCAGAAAAAAAUUCAAAGCACAAAAGCAAAACAACCUUAGAAUUAUCUUAAGGACUGAUAUUGGUAAUUAAUUAGAGUCAAUUUAAUAAUCUUACAUUUCCUUACAUUAUCUUGGCAAGAUUCAAAUGUCUAUUUGCCAACAUUUAUUUUAUUUGGAGAACUUUUAUCAAAAGUAAUGCUGCCAAAGGAAGUCUGAGGAGUUGGUAAUGUUGCCAUGACUUGUUUGGAAUAUUUUAGUAUAAGAGUUUGUGAUUUCUUGGACUGACAAUUAUAUUUUAACUUUGGUGGGGGAAAGAAUUAUAGGACCACAGUCUUUACUUCUCAUAUUUGUAAGUUACUAAUCUUUUGUUGAACUUCUUUUGACCAUUAAACUAUAAUAUUUAGAAAUGGUCAUUUUAUGUAAAAUUUGGAAAAUUUGAUAAUAGUGCAGUAGAAUAAAUGAAUUAAUUUUUUAUUUAAUUUAUAUUGAACUGUCAAUGACAAAUAAAAAUUCUUUUUGAUUA